CAAACCAAAGCUGGCGACCGGCGCACGGGUGAGUAACACGUACCCAACCUGCCUCAUACUCGGGGAUAGCCUUUCGAAAGAAAGAUUAAUAUCCGAUAGCAUAUAUUUCCCGCAUGGGUUUUAUAUUAAAGAAAUUCGGUAUGAGAUGGGGAUGCGUUCCAUUAGUUUGUUGGGGGGUAACGGCCCACCAAGACUACGAUGGAUAGGGGUUCUGAGAGGAAGGUCCCCCACAUUGGAACUGAGACACGGUCCAA
RNAcentral lists this ribosomal RNA (254 nucleotides) under uncultured bacterium. RNAcentral describes it as "partial 16S ribosomal RNA". It matches the Rfam family "Bacterial small subunit ribosomal RNA", at positions 74 to 334 of the family's 1533-position model. The record is from RNAcentral.